This 87-nucleotide ribosomal RNA is filed under the name Desulfovibrio sp. RNAcentral's name for it is "partial 16S ribosomal RNA". It matches the Rfam family "Bacterial small subunit ribosomal RNA", at positions 1 to 88 of the family's 1533-position model. The record is from RNAcentral. Lineage: Bacteria; Pseudomonadati; Thermodesulfobacteriota; Desulfovibrionia; Desulfovibrionales; Desulfovibrionaceae.
CAACUGGAGAGUUUGAUUCUGGCUCAGAUUGAACGCUGGCGGCGUGCCUAACACAUGCAAGUCGUGCGUGAAAGGGCUUCGGCCUGA